RNAcentral lists this ribosomal RNA (253 nucleotides) under uncultured bacterium. RNAcentral describes it as "partial 16S ribosomal RNA". It matches the Rfam family "Bacterial small subunit ribosomal RNA", at positions 524 to 776 of the family's 1533-position model. The record is from RNAcentral.
UACGAAGGGGGCGAGCGUUGUUCGGAUUUACUGGGCGUAAAGAGCGCGCAGGCGGUCGUUCAAGUCGAGUGUGAAAGCCCCCGGCUCAACUGGGGAGGGUCAUUCGAUACUGAUCGACUUGAAGGCAGGAGAGGGAAGCGGAAUUCCCGGUGUAGUGGUGAAAUGCGUAGAUAUCGGGAGGAACACCAGUGGCGAAGGCGGCUUCCUGGCCUGUUCUUGACGCUGAGGCGCGAAAGCUAGGGGAGCAAACGGG